AUGAAACAGAUCAGCACUCCUGAAAUGAUGUGGAAAAUGGGAAAUUUUAAAAGCUUACAUGCCACAACGUAUCCACACGAACUUUUCAAGAGCUGGAAAUGUUUGUGAUGGUGAUAUGGGAAUGGUCCAUGGUAUGGUAUUUAUAGCUGAAGAAAAGUUUGCUUCAGAAGCAAAGGAUACCUCAUCCUCCCUAAAACAGAGCCCCUUUUUGCUUUUUUUUUUCAGUUCAUGUUCGUGAGUUCAUCACUCUAAGAAGCAAAGAUGAUUAUCCAAAAGAAGAUAUGGACAGCCACAUUUGUUGUUACCUGCCAUCAUAUCUGGACUAGCUAGGUGCUUUAUAUACUCAGUUUCCAGUUCUCCAGCAAAAGCUUUGGUGUUUCUUACACUCUGCUGAUUUCUAUCUAAGGCGGCACGGCUUGUGCCAUGGACUGGAUGAAGCCGAUGUGUAUCUGGAUAAAAAGAUUGUCAACAUGACUCAUCUCUUCUGUAGUGUGUCAAUCCUAAUGCAUUGUGUGUUCUGUGAGUCAUGGGCAAACUUUUGAUCUAAAUCUUAAUCUACUUUACUCGGAUGUGUAUCCAUGACAUGACUGGAUUUCUUGUAGGAGUGCCUGAUAUUGCAGCUAUGUGGUGUAUUCUUCUUGGUUGUGUAUAUCUAACUGUUGAUAUAAAGGUCAGAUUUUUAUCCAUUAUCUAAAAAAAUGUGGUGUAUUUUACUUGUCCUCUACUUGCUCUUCAUCUGCUUGUGUGUAUGCUCUAUCCAGCUAUUGGAAUUUCAGAAUCUGUCACGCGAUGAACACGGCCUGUUUGGAACAUCCUGCUCGAUCUGCGUGCGAAUCUAUCUGUGAUUUUUACGUUUUAGUACAUACUAAUACUGAGUUACUGACUGAUCAAACUAACAUAUUAAAGGGGCAGUAACACCUGCUAGUCAGAAAAUAAUACUCUAUCCGUUUUAUAUUAUAUAAAUUGUUUUGACUUUUUCCUUAGUCAACUUUUUUAAGUUUAACCAAGUUUAUAUUAAAAAUCUAGAACAUCAAAUUAGUUUUAUUAAAAUGAACAUUUAAUAUAUUUUAAUAAUAUGUUGUUUUAUGUUAGCAAUGUUGCUAUAUUUUUCUACAAACUUGAUCAAACUUUAAAAAAUUGACUAGGACAAAAGUCAAAACGAUUUAUAGUAUAAAAUGGAGGGAGUAUUUACAGUAUGCUGCUUGAUAAUUACUGUAUUCCUUUUGAAGUAAGAAGAUUUAGGUAGGUGCUAAAAUUGAUAAUAGAAGAACUUGCAUUGAACCCAUAAUUCCAAAAUGGAUGAACUAAAAUACUUUUCUUCAAUAAAAAAGGAGAUCCGCUGGACGAAAUCAAGAAAACAAAGAAUCUAAUGUGAAAAUUACACCAUAACAUGGUCAAAAGAAAAAAAAAAGGAAAUUACACCCAUAGCUACUUACCAGCAUACUUCUUUUUUCCCACAGAAACCAGGGACUGGUUUCCCAUCAACCUUCCAAGGUUGACAUUGCUACAGAGGUUACAACUAGGACAUCUUUUGAGUUUUUCCACCCUUCCACUUAUAGAUCUUCCACUUACACCAUAAGUUGACUACCCCUCGAUGGCUCGAAGGGUAUAAUGUAUAUAUAGUCGUGCAAUGUCGGUGGCAUCUUUGUGUCCGACACCAUGACCUGAUAUUUUUCGCAGAGCUUGUCGCUUGUUGGGUCGACGUGUCGUUUAAGUCAUGGUAUUUGUCACGCAAUGCAUAUCCUUUUAUGCUCUUGCUCUUUUUCGGCUACAAGGAUUGUGUUUUCAAAUUAAUUAAUGCAAAAAUCUAGAUAUAAUAUAAAUUUUUUUGCAAGGGAAAUUACUAAAUAAACAAAACAGCACAUUCUUAAAAUCGUUUUAUCCCACUGAAGAGUUGUAUUUAGAUUUAGAAGACUUCUUUCUUGAGUGAAUAGUGGAGAUACUCCUUUGCUAUAGAUUAUAAUUAUAGGGGAAUAAUUACAAUAGAGGGCAUGGGGAGUAGAGAAAACAAAAAAAAACUGUUAAACUGUAAAUGGAUUCUCGAUUGAGGAAUUUAAGAUACACAAUUGUCUCCAAUAUAAAAAUAAACCAUAAUAUUUGGGCUGUGAAUUUAUUGUAUAAUAGAAAAAUCAAGGACACAUGGCUAAUGGUUGCUAAGAAAAAAAAUUGCAAAUAUUCUAUAGGUUCUCAGAGAGAAAAGGGAAAUCAUUCAAUUUGAUUGACUCCAAUUACAAAGAAUUUCUUUUAGUGUCUUAGAAACAUAUUUAAUGAUAUGCAGUUUGGAAAAAAAAUAGAAAAUAAAUACCGGGCACUAUGUUUAAUUAAAAGGUAAAAAAAAAUUUACUACUUGGGGUGUGGAUUUACAUUGUAUUCCUGCACAUAAGAAGUUUCAAAUUCAACAGAUACAAUUUUAAUAUUGAACUCUGUCCACUAUACAGCAAUGCAGUACACCGUGCAUCUGAUAAAAACAGUGAUAUGCUUUAUUAUUCAUGGUUCUCUUUCUUCUGGGGAGAACUGGAAGAUCCACCUUUUGGCAAAACAAUUCACAGCUUUCAUAAUACAAUUGGCUGCUACAGAGCAAUGGCAACUGAGCGUAAGUGCGUAACACUUUAACAAAAUUAAUAAAGCUCAAAACAAUUAAUAUUCUGCAGGCAUAUUGCACAGGCCAGUAUUGGCUUCAGAAUACACAGAAAUUGUAACAAAGCAAACUGCUUUUGUUCUUACCCAAGAAUAACCAUUAUAUUCUGUAAAAUAAUAUGGGUAAUUUGGCCAUUUCUUUGCAAAGGCAAACAUGCAAUUUCGCACAGUUCAGAUCCUUGUCCACAAUUUGUUUUGAUCAUUGCAAUCCCUUCUUGCAGAACCAUCAACUUAUGCUUAUUUACAACCAUACAGGCAUCGAUGACAGCAUCACUCUUUUGUCGCUCAUGUAGCUUUUUUCACUUGCACAAACACAGUGCCAUACUCCCAUUGUACAAAUGAUGUG
This 2983-nucleotide long non-coding RNA is filed under the name Oryza sativa (Asian cultivated rice). RNAcentral describes it as "long non-coding RNA (OSAT_LNC000499)". The record is from RNAcentral. Lineage: Eukaryota; Viridiplantae; Streptophyta; Magnoliopsida; Poales; Poaceae.